RNAcentral lists this ribosomal RNA (422 nucleotides) under uncultured Rikenellaceae bacterium. Its description in RNAcentral is "bacterial SSU rRNA". It matches the Rfam family "Bacterial small subunit ribosomal RNA", at positions 355 to 774 of the family's 1533-position model. Lineage: Bacteria; Pseudomonadati; Bacteroidota; Bacteroidia; Bacteroidales; Rikenellaceae. The record is from RNAcentral.
UGAGGAAUAUUGGUCAAUGGACGGAAGUCUGAACCAGCCAUGCCGCGUGCAGGAAGACGGCUCUAUGAGUUGUAAACUGCUUUUGUACAAGGGUAAACCUGAAUACGUGUAUUCAGCUGAAAGUACUGUACGAAUAAGGAUCGGCUAACUCCGUGCCAGCAGCCGCGGUAAUACGGAGGAUCCAAGCGUUAUCCGGAUUUAUUGGGUUUAAAGGGUGCGUAGGCGGAUUGAUAAGUUAGAGGUGAAAUGUCCGAGCUUAACUCGGGAACUGCCUCUAAUACUGUUGAUCUAGAGAGUAGAUGCGGUAGGCGGAAUGUAUGGUGUAGCGGUGAAAUGCUUAGAGAUCAUACAGAACACCGAUUGCGAAGGCAGCUUACCAAUCUAUAUCUGACGUUGAGGCACGAAAGCGUGGGGAGCAAACA